GAUGAACGCUGGCGGCGUGCCUAAUACAUGCAAGUCGAGCGAACGGACGAUAAGCUUGCUUUUCUGAUGUUAGCGGCGGACGGGUGAGUAACACGUGGAUAACCUACCUAUAAGACUGGGAUAACUUCGGGAAACCGGAGCUAAUACCGGAUAAUAUUUUGAACCGCAUGGUUCAAAAGUGAAAGACGGUCUUGCUGUCACUUAUAGAUGGAUCCGCGCUGCAUUAGCUAGUUGGUAAGGUAACGGCUUACCAAGGCAACGAUGCAUAGCCGACCUGAGAGGGUGAUCGGCCACACUGGAACUGAGACACGGUCCAGACUCCUACGGGAGGCAGCAGUAGGGAACCUUCCGCAAUGGGCGAAAGCCUGACGGAGCAACGCCGCGUGAGUGAUGAAGGUCUUCGGAUCGUAAAACUCUGUUAUUAGGGAAGAACAUAUGUGUAAGUAACUGUGCACAUCUUGACGGUACCUAAUCAGAAAGCCACGGCUAACUACGUG
This 497-nucleotide ribosomal RNA is filed under the name uncultured bacterium. RNAcentral's name for it is "partial 16S ribosomal RNA". It matches the Rfam family "Bacterial small subunit ribosomal RNA", at positions 28 to 507 of the family's 1533-position model. The record is from RNAcentral.